UACAGAGGUCUCAAGCGUUGUUCGGACUCAUUGGGCGUAAAGGGUGCGUAGGUGGCGCUGUAAGUCAGGUGUGAAAUUUCGGAGCUUAACUCCGAAACUGCAUUUGAUACUGCGGUGCUUGAGGACUGGAGAGGAGACUGGAAUUCCCGGUGUAGCGGUGAAAUGCGCAGAUAUCGGGAGGAACACCGGUGGCGAAGGCGGUUCUCUGGGCCUUACCUGACGCUGAGGAGCGAAAGCGUGGGGAGCGAACAGG
RNAcentral lists this ribosomal RNA (253 nucleotides) under uncultured bacterium. RNAcentral's name for it is "partial 16S ribosomal RNA". It matches the Rfam family "Bacterial small subunit ribosomal RNA", at positions 524 to 776 of the family's 1533-position model. The record is from RNAcentral.